This 73-nucleotide transfer RNA is filed under the name Ovis aries (sheep). RNAcentral describes it as "tRNA-Phe (GAA) (tRNA-Phe-GAA-12-1)". It matches the Rfam family "tRNA". From Rfam's summary of the family: Transfer RNA (tRNA) molecules are approximately 80 nucleotides in length. The record is from Rfam by way of RNAcentral. Lineage: Eukaryota; Metazoa; Chordata; Mammalia; Artiodactyla; Bovidae.
GCUAGAAUAGUUCAGCUGGGACAGCAUUAGACUGAAGAUCUAAAGGUCCCUGGUUUGAUCCCGGGUUCCGGCA